AUGUCGCACACCAAGGUUCCCUAUCUCGCCGUGCCGCCGCCGCCGGCGGCGGCGGCCCCGGCUGCCGCGUACUACCAAGACGACGAGCCGGUGGAGGAGAAGAAACCCCUGGCAAACAACGGCCGGGGGUUGGUCCUCAAGACUCACUGCGAGUUCCCGGCCAUCGGAAGGGGCGCGUUCAGGGACAAGUUCGCGGUGCUCGUCCAUGCCAGGGCGCCCGCCGACGUGGCGCGCGCGCCGCUCGACCUCGUCACCGUGCUCGACGUCAGCGGCAGCAUGAAGGGCCAAAAGUUGGCGCUGCUGAAACAGGCCAUGGCGUUCGUCGUCGAUCAACUCGGCCCUGCCGAUCGCCUCUCCGUAGUGUCCUUCUCGGGUCGGGCGGCCCGCUUGACCUGCCUCGCGCGCAUGUCGGACGCGGGCAAGGCCUCGGCGGAGCUCGCGGUGGACUCCCUUGUUGUUGGGUCGGGCACCAACAUCGGCGAGGGCCUCCGUGUGGGCGCCCAGGUGCUCGUCGGCCGCCGGCUCAAGAACUCCGUCGCCAGCAUGAUCCUCCUCUCCGACGGCCAGGACUCGCGCCUCAGGGCAAAUAAGAGGUACAUGGACCUUGUGCCGCCUCUGUUCGUGCUCGCUGGUAGCCGGCCCGGGCCGAUCCACACGUUCGGCUUCGGCGCCAACCACGACGCCGCGGCAUUGCACACCAUCGCGCAGGCCACGGGCGGCACCUUCUCCUUCGUCGGGAACCAGGCGGCGAUCCAGGACUCGUUCGCGCAGUGCAUCGGCGGGCUCCUGUCGGUCGCCGUGCAGGAGGCGCGCAUCGCCGUCACGUGCCUGCACCGAGGCGUGCACGUCCAGGAAGUCAAGUCGGGCUGCUACGGCAACCACGUGGACGCCGACGGCCGCGCUGCCUCCAUCGACGUCGGAGAGCUCUACGACGGCGAGGAGAGGCGCUUCUUGGUGCUCGUGUACGUGCCGAGAGCCCGGCCCGCGGAGUCGGUCACCCGCCUGAUCAAGGUGACCUGCGGCUACAAUGACGCCGCGACAGGGCAGGCCGCCAACGCCGCCGCACCCGCGGCGGUGAUCCAGAGGCCGCUGGAGCUGACCGACCUGCCGCAUCCGUGCAUGGAGGUGGAGCGGGAGCGCGUCCGCCUUGCCACGACCCAAGACAUCGCGGCCGCACGGGAGGCAGCUGAAGGAGGGCAACACGCCAGCGCGGCGCGGAUACUGGACUCCCGGCUAAAGGCGGUGGAGAGGUCGGCGCCUGGGACGGCCGGAGAUGAUCCCACGUGUGAGGCGAUCAAGGAGGAGCUGCGCGACCUGAGCGCCCGCGUGGGGGACCGGCGGGAGUACCAGCAGACGGGUCGAGCGUGCCUGCUUGCCGGCAUGAGCUCGCACGCGCAGCAGCGCGCCUCGGCGGUGGAGCUGCAGUCGGCGAGCAAGGCCCGGGCGUACCUGACUCCCAAGAUGGAGGAGAUGGUGGAGACGUCGCGUGAGCAGAGCAGAAAGCGUGGCAGCAGCAGCGACGCCGGAUCCAGCCAGCUUAAUAAACAGAUCAAGCAAGACCUGACAGAGGAUUAA
Molecule: ribosomal RNA, 1575 nt
Filed under: Triticum aestivum (bread wheat)
Lineage: Eukaryota; Viridiplantae; Streptophyta; Magnoliopsida; Poales; Poaceae
Description: partial small subunit ribosomal RNA
Source: RNAcentral